GACGAACGCNGGCGGCGUGCUUAACACAUGCAAGUCGAACGAAGAGCGAUGGAAGUUUGCUUCUAUCAAUCUUAGUGGCGAACGGGUGAGUAACGCGUAAUCAACCUGCCCUUCAGAGGGGGACAACAGUUGGAAACGACUGCUAAUACCGCAUACGAUCUAAUCUCGGCAUCGAGGAUAGAUGAAAGGUGGCCUCUACAUGUAAGCUAUCACUGAAGGAGGGGAUUGCGUCUGAUUAGCUAGUUGGAGGGGUAACGGCCCACCAAGGCGAUGAUCAGUAGCCGGUCUGAGAGGAUGAACGGCCACAUUGGGACUGAGACACGGCCCAGACUCCUACGGGAGGCAGCAGUGGGGAAUCUUCCGCAAUGGACGAAAGUCUGACGGAGCAACGCCGCGUGAGUGAUGACGGCCUUCGGGUUGUAAAGCUCUGUUAAUCGGGACGAAAGGCCUUCUUGCGAAUAGUGAGAAGGAUGACG
Molecule: ribosomal RNA, 476 nt
Filed under: uncultured bacterium
Lineage: Bacteria
Description: bacterial SSU rRNA
Rfam family: Bacterial small subunit ribosomal RNA
Source: RNAcentral